This 303-nucleotide ribosomal RNA is filed under the name Triticum aestivum (bread wheat). RNAcentral describes it as "partial small subunit ribosomal RNA". Lineage: Eukaryota; Viridiplantae; Streptophyta; Magnoliopsida; Poales; Poaceae. The record is from RNAcentral.
GUGCUCAGCGCCAUGCCGACCUUCGCCCUCUCAGUGCUGCGGGUUCCACCAAAAUUACUCAAAGAAAUCGAUAAGUGUAGGAGGCAUUUCCUUUGGAAGCAGGAGGAGGAAACAACGGGGGCUAGCUGCAGGGGAAAUUGGCCAACAGUCUGUGCGCCAACUGAGAAGGGAGGGCUUGGCAUCCUGGACCUGCAAAGUUUCAGCCGAGCACUCCGGCUACGCUGGCUAUGGAUUGCUUGGAAAGACCCGGACAGACCAUGGGUUGGCACACCACCGCCAUGCGAUGACGUGGACAGAGCCCUG